Long non-coding RNA from Anopheles merus, 1100 nucleotides. RefSeq lists it as uncharacterized. The record is from RefSeq and is a predicted model, not a curated record. Lineage: Eukaryota; Metazoa; Arthropoda; Insecta; Diptera; Culicidae. The transcript has 3 exons.
GACGGCAGUUGUCAAAUGCGACGAAUGUUGCUGGUAUACGGUUCAUAAAUCGGCAUUUUCAACGUGAUAUUGCGGCUGCUGCCUGUAUACAAAUAUCGACGGCUGUUGUCAAACUGAAUCUCAAAAUGGCAACAUGCUAAACGCUAGGAAGACAGCUCCUCUAUAUUCCCCCUUGUGACAAAAGCCUGUUUUGGCCGAUUUCCAAUAAAAAAACGAAUGAAAAAAUUUUGACAGACAAAUUGGAAUGGUUUGUUUACAAUUGGACUGGUUUGUUUACAAUUCGACUGAUUGCAACUGGAUUGCAAUCGUGCAAUAGUACGAUGUUUUAGGUUGAAUUGUUCAAUUAUUGUAAAUCUAAUUUUAAGUAUGUACUUUCUGUUGGACUUGUGUAGAAAGUGGAGAAGGGAUUCCGCUAUGAAUAUUCGUGUGUUAUCGUAAUAAGACCCAACAUGUACGAGUUGAAAAAUCGUUACGUCGGAAAACGAUCUCAGGACAUUAACUUAAGUUUGCUGCAAAAUCAUAUGUGUAUAAGCAAUAAGGGAGAGCCGAUAAAGAAGCGGAUGAAGUAACCAGAUAGUGAGCAUAUGCUGGACGGAAAAUGUAUGCAGCGGCUGGUCAUAAAAAAAAUCAUAUCGAACGACACGUUUCUAACCAUAGAUUAACAUCAAACCAGUCUCUAACAGCACGUGAAUUUCAUCACACGAGAUUCUUUCCGUCCAAGAACAGUCCUGUGAUCUAGUGAUGGGCGUUUCGGAGCGUACCAACGGCUCCGGACUAACGGGUCCGGAGCCAGCUACACUCCGACGGCUCCGUAGCCGGCUCCGCUCCAAGGGCUCCGCAUCAAUGGCUCCGCAGCCGGUUCCGGACUAACAGCCCUGCACUCACGGCUCCAUUCCAAUAACUGCGGAGCCGGCUUCGAGUCCACUGUUCCAGAGCUGUCGAUGAAUCAACGGCUCCGAACUUACGGUUCAAUAGAGACAGCAUUGCAUGCUAGCCUAAUAAAAAAACAAAUAUAUUUUCUCGUGGAAGCUAACACACGAUGUGAUUGCAGUAUUGACAUGUAUGACGUUAUAAUAUUUUUCAUGAUUGAUAGAGGCAGA